AUACCUUUCUCGGCCUUUUGGCUAAGAUCAAGUGUAGUAUCUGUUCUUAUCAGUUUAAUAUCUGAUAUGUGGGCCAUGUGUCCACUUCGAUAUUAAAUUAAUUUUUUGUGGGGAAAGGUCCACUACAGUGGCUUGCAUUGGGUCCCUUAUGUGUCGCUCUAGCGUUGCACUAUUGCUUGAGCCUGGCGCACCCCAAC
This 197-nucleotide small nuclear RNA is filed under the name Zea mays. It matches the Rfam family "U2 spliceosomal RNA". Rfam says of the family: U2 is a small nuclear RNA (snRNA) component of the spliceosome (involved in pre-mRNA splicing). The record is from RNAcentral. Lineage: Eukaryota; Viridiplantae; Streptophyta; Magnoliopsida; Poales; Poaceae.